This 460-nucleotide ribosomal RNA is filed under the name uncultured bacterium. RNAcentral's name for it is "partial 16S ribosomal RNA". It matches the Rfam family "Bacterial small subunit ribosomal RNA", at positions 338 to 795 of the family's 1533-position model. The record is from RNAcentral.
CCUACGGGGGGCAACAGUGAGGAAUAUUGGUCAAUGGGCGCUAGCCUGAACCAGCCAAGUAGCGUGAAGGAUGACUGCCCUAUGGGUUGUAAACUUCUUUUAUAUGGGAAUAAAGUGCAGUAUAUAUACUGCUUUGCAUGUACCUUAUGAAUAAGGAUCGGCUAACUCCGUGCCAGCAGCCGCGGUAAUACGGAGGAUCCGAGCGUUAUCCGGAUUUAUUGGGUUUAAAGGGAGCGUAGGCGGGUUGUUAAGUCAGUUGUGAAAGUUUGCGGCUCAACCGUAAAAUUGCAGUUGAUACUGGCAGCCUUGAGUACAGUAGAGGUAGGCGGAAUUCGUGGUGUAGCGGUGAAAUGCUUAGAUAUCACGAAGAACUCCGAUUGCGAAGGCAGCCUGCUGGACUGUAACUGACGCUGAUGCUCGAAAGUGUGGGUAUCAAACAGGAUUAGAUACCCGAGUAGUC